Long non-coding RNA from Vespula pensylvanica (western yellowjacket), 403 nucleotides. RefSeq lists it as uncharacterized. NCBI's taxonomy places the organism in Eukaryota, Metazoa, Arthropoda, Insecta, Hymenoptera, Vespidae. The record is from RefSeq and is a predicted model, not a curated record. The transcript is spliced from 2 exons.
UUCGCUGGCAAAACGAACUCGAUCCCAACUAACAAACAAACGAGCCUUUGAUUUACGAACACUGCAACAAGAUGAAUUUUAAUCGUACGUCGCGACAUCGGCCUGGGCAUUGAAAUUGAUAGCGAUUUACAAAACUUACACUGGCCACCCUGGAAAGAUGCUAUUUAAUUCACGAAGACUUCAUUCUCAUCAUUGAGAUUCCAUUUUCUGGAACUCGAUGCCGUUCGAUAGAGAUACCGGUGCAUCUCGCCUUACGUUUACGUUCCAGUCAUUCUUAGGAGAUGCAAGUAUUCGAUGUAUCCACGAGAGCUGGCGCCGUGAGAGCUCUAGACGACCAUCCAUAAAAUAUACCCGUCGUCGAGCGAAAGGAAGAGAAAAAGAGAGGGAGAGAGAGGGAGAGAGA